ACAUGCAAGUCGAACGGUGAAGCUCAAGCUUGCUUGGGUGGAUCAGUGGCGAACGGGUGAGUAACACGUGAGCAACCUGCCCCGGACUCUGGAAUAAGCGCUGGAAACGGCGUCUAAUACUGGAUAUGACACCAAUCCGCAUGGGUAUGGUGUGGAAAGUUUUUCGGUCUGGGAUGGGCUCGCGGCCUAUCAGCUUGUUGGUGAGGUAAUGGCUCACCAAGGCGACGACGGGUAGCCGGCCUGAGAGGGCGACCGGCCACACUGGGACUGAGACACGGCCCAGACUCCUACGGGAGGCAGCAGUGGGGAAUAUUGCACAAUGGGCGAAAGCCUGAUGCAGCGACGCCGCGUGAGGGAUGACGGCCUUCGGGUUGUAAACCUCUUUCAGCAGGGAAGAAGCGAAAGUGACGGUACCUGCAGAAGAAGCACCGGCUAACUACGUGCCAGCAGCCGCGGUAAUACGUAGGGUGCGAGCGUUGUCCGGAAUUAUUGGGCGUAAAGAGCUUGUAGGCGGUUUGUCGCGUCUGCUGUGAAAAUCCGGGGCUCAACCCCGGACUUGCAGUGGGUACGGGCAGACUAGAGUGUGGUAGGGGAGACUGGAAUUCCUGGUGUAGCGGUGAAAUGCGCAGAUAUCAGGAGGAACACCGAUGGCGAAGGCAGGUCUCUGGGCCACUACUGACGCUGAGAAGCGAAAGCAUGGGGAGCGAACAGGAUUAGAUACCCUGGUAGUCCAUGCCGUAAACGUUGGGCGCUAGGUGUGGGACUC
Molecule: ribosomal RNA, 766 nt
Filed under: Janibacter sp.
Lineage: Bacteria; Bacillati; Actinomycetota; Actinomycetes; Micrococcales; Intrasporangiaceae
Description: bacterial SSU rRNA
Rfam family: Bacterial small subunit ribosomal RNA
Source: RNAcentral